RNAcentral lists this ribosomal RNA (307 nucleotides) under uncultured fungus. RNAcentral describes it as "SSU rRNA". It matches the Rfam family "Eukaryotic small subunit ribosomal RNA", at positions 39 to 352 of the family's 1831-position model. The record is from RNAcentral. Lineage: Eukaryota; Fungi.
AAAGAUUAAGCCAUGCAUGUCUAAGUAUAAGCACUCAUACUGUGAAACUGCGAGUGGCUCAUUAAAUCAGUUAUCGUUUAUUUGAUAGUACCUUUACCUGGAUAACCGUGGUAAUUCUAGAGCUAAUACAUGCUAAAAAUCCCGACUUCGGAAGGGAUGUAUUUAUUAGAUAAAAAACCAAUGCCCUCCGGGGCUCCUUGGUGAUUCAUAAUAACUCAACGAAUCGCAUGGCCUUGCGCCGGCGAUGGUUCAUUCAAAUUUCUGCCCUAUCAACUUUCGAUGGUAGGAUAGUGGCCUACCAUGGUCU